AGUUCUCAGGCCCGCUGUGGUGUGAAGUUAGGUUCACCAAGCGGCUGCCCUGGGAGAGGG
This 60-nucleotide microRNA precursor is filed under the name Mus musculus (house mouse). RNAcentral's name for it is "Mmu-Mir-3067_pre stem-loop". The record is from RNAcentral. Lineage: Eukaryota; Metazoa; Chordata; Mammalia; Rodentia; Muridae.